GAUCCUGGCUCAGGAUGAACGCUAGCUACAGGCUUAACACAUGCAAGUCGAGGGGAAACGACAUCGAAAGCUUGCUUUUGAUGGGCGUCGACCGGCGCACGGGUGAGUAACGCGUAUCCAACCUGCCCAUCACUUGGGAAUAACCUUGCGAAAGUAAGACUAAUGCCCAAUGAUAUCCCACGAAUGCACGUACCGAAGUAGGGUAAUUAAAGUAUUUAGUCGGUGAGUGGUAGGUGGGAUG
RNAcentral lists this ribosomal RNA (241 nucleotides) under uncultured bacterium. RNAcentral's name for it is "partial 16S ribosomal RNA". It matches the Rfam family "Bacterial small subunit ribosomal RNA", at positions 15 to 233 of the family's 1533-position model. The record is from RNAcentral.